AGCGCAUCCUGGCCGGUCGUCCUUAAUUCAGGUUGUAGACGAAGCAUCCGUCGUAACAAAUCCAAACCAAGAGGAUCAAAUGUUGGAAAUAGGUAGGCGAGAUCUUGUGCUUUAUAAAUAGGGAAAGUAGGCUUAUAUUCAGGAAGUAAAGAAAUUCCGGGCCAUGAUUGUUCAGUAGGAGUUCCCAAUAAUCGGAAGAUUUUUAGUAGCUGAUCCUCAUUAUUUGACCCAGCAAAUAGAGGACGUCCUGUAGCCAUUUCUGCCAUGAUACAACCAACUGACCAAAUAUCAAUGGAAGUUGAAUAUACUCGAGAACCCAAAAGAACGUCAGGAGCACGAUACCAUAAGGUGACCACUUCGUUUGAAAAAGUAUUCACUGGAAUUCCAAUUGAACGGGCUAACCCAAAAUCCGCCAAUUUCAAUUCACCACGACUGUUGAUAAGCAAAUUUUGAGGUUUCAGAUCACGAUGUAGAACUCGGUUUUCGUGACAAAAAGAUAUCCCUUUGAGUAAUUGUUGAGUAAAAUUUUUUACUUGAGAAGGUGGAAGAGCUCCUUGGUUCCCAUAAGUGUCCAUGUACUUUUUCAAAUCUUUUUCCAUAUAUUCAAAAACGAGCAUAAGCUUAUUUUCGGUUUGCAAAACGUCUGAGAGAGACAUAAUAUUGGGAUGCCUAAGCUCCUUCAUAAGACUAAUCUCACGGAUAGCAGUACUAGGUGUUCCUUCAUCUGCAUCAAUACGAAUAACUUUGAGAGCGACAAUUUCACCAGUCACUCGAUUUUGCCCCUUAUAAACAUGCGCAUAUGUUCCCUCUCCUACUUAAGUUAAUGAAAUUGCAAAUUUUGGGACCUCAAACUCAUACUUACCUAACUUUUCAAGCCUUUGGUAGUUCAUGUUGUGCGAUGGAAAUAUCAAGUGCCUCCUCUACGAUGACUAACGACUUAAGGUGAUGUUAAGCUAACAAAACUGUUUUUAAGACCUACAGUUUUGAAGAAUAUGCUAAGAAAAAAAAUUUUUAGUCUAUUGAGUCAUGUCGAACAUCUUGCUAUAAUGUAAACUAUUGUAAUUAAGAUCACUACAGCUUCUAUCACAAAUUAACCUAAUGAUAAUUAAUCAGAAGGUUGCCAUCUGUAGAAAACACAUAAGUAUUAAUAAACC
Non-coding RNA from Schizosaccharomyces pombe (fission yeast), 1154 nucleotides. The record is from the annotation of a GenBank genome assembly. NCBI's taxonomy places the organism in Eukaryota, Fungi, Ascomycota, Schizosaccharomycetes, Schizosaccharomycetales, Schizosaccharomycetaceae.